Molecule: long non-coding RNA, 1355 nt
Filed under: Ursus americanus (American black bear)
Lineage: Eukaryota; Metazoa; Chordata; Mammalia; Carnivora; Ursidae
Description: lncRNA (ENSUAMG00000010093.1)
Source: RNAcentral
CUCUGUCUCUCUCUCAGGAUAUUUCACUCGAGUCCAUGGCGUCAGUCAGCUUAUAAAGGCAUUUCUACGGAAGACAGAAUGUCAUUGUCAAAUUCUAAAUCUUGGGGCUGGAAUGGAUACCACCUCUGGAGAUUAAAGGAUGAAGAUCUCCCAUGAAAAUAUUUUUGAGGUCGACUUUGCAGUGAUUGUCACGAGAAAGCUGCCCAGCAUCCAAGUCAAGCCUUUCUUAUCACAACCCAUUACAGAACUACAUUCGGGGGACCCACUUCAAAUCGGCAAGUACCCUUAACCUACGUGGUACGAUGUGCACUACAGAACGCUCUUUGCUUUUUUCCCCUUUUCCUUUUAAAAGGGGUGUGUGUGUGUCUGUGUGUCUGUCUGUCUGCGCCUGCGGGUGUGCACUUGCGCUGUCACGCGGAGUGUACUUCUGCUGAUACGUUUACACUACAUCGCAUUUACCANACAGAACGCUCUUUGCUUUUUUCCCCUUUUCCUUUUAAAAGGGGUGUGUGUGUGUCUGUGUGUCUGUCUGUCUGUCUGCGCCUGCGGGUGUGCACUUGCGCUGUCAUGCGGAGUGUACUUCUGCUGAUACGUUUACACUACAUCGCAUUUACCACGAAGGAAUUUAAAACAGAUGUCCAUAGGUCCCCGUUCUUCAGUCUUUAUAAAAUGGGUUUCAGUGAUUUACAACCAGUGCAAAAGUAGAUUUUUUCCUGAAAAUCUCUGUUUCCAGCUUUCCUUGUGAACAUCCAAUCUGGCAGCAUCAGACCCUAAGUCCUAGGUGGCUGCUUCAUGGAGGGGGGCUGUCAUCCUCCCGUCCCGCCCCCACUGCUCCCCGCUGUCUUGUACCUGAUCUGCUCCACCUGUUAUAUCACCUCCUCGGCCCCUGUGCUCCGGGUUUCCCCUCACGUUUUAAGUAUGAGUGUUUCCAGCAACUCCCUGCUCACCUCUAAGCCUUUCAGUCCAAGGUAAACCUCUUCCAGAAUGUUCCAUCGUUUUCAGUCUGUGUCUGGCAGAGUAUUCAGGGGGCUUACUAAUAAUUCAGGUCAGAGGACAUGCCCAGAGAGGAUGGCCUUCUGGGAUGGUGGACACAGAUAACACAGGAAACAUGAGACAGCGAGACAGGCCUCUGUGCAACCACAGUGCCACAGUCAUGCUCCUGGUGAAGAGACUCCCAGAAAGAACAUCUCCCCCAUCCUUCGUUUCCCUCCUACAGAUUAUAAGUAGAACCUGUGCAGGCUGUGCCAUGUGCUGGCCUGGCUGUUUUCUCCACACUGUCGCUAUCAUAACUUUCUGUAUAUUUGGUGAAUACUUGUGUCGGAAUGAUUACCUAUAAUGAAGGAGCUAACGCUUUG